Molecule: long non-coding RNA, 548 nt
Organism: Manacus vitellinus (golden-collared manakin)
Lineage: Eukaryota; Metazoa; Chordata; Aves; Passeriformes; Pipridae
Exons: 2
Source: RefSeq, a predicted model, not a curated record
UCAUUGCCAAAUUCUGCUGGGCCCCUGUCCUUGUGCCGCAGGGUGUGGUGGAAGAAAAAACCAAUUGGGAAAGAUAUGUGGCAUGGAGAAGCAUCUAUGGGAACUAGAUGGACUUUUAUACACUGGACAAUUCAUCCACCGGACUGACAGUUGUUCCCCAGUUUUACCCCAGUUUAUUGCUGUAUUGUCAUGGAGUUUUAUGUACCCCAGUUUACUGUUGAAUUUUUAUGAAGUUUGUUAUACCUCCAUAUUGUUCCCCUUUCUCCCUCAGAUUUUCCCGCCCAAAGUUGUUUGUCACCCUGUCCUCCCCUGCUUUCCCGCUCCUCUGCCACUGAUUGGCUACAGUUUGCUGCAGUGCAAAGAGAGCUCCCAUUGGCCCUUUCUCCUGGAGACUCCGAAGUUCCACCCGCCUUUUCCCUGUCUCCCUAUCACACUUUUCCCUGAGUUGUCAGUUCCAUGCUCCUCCCCAGUUCAGAAUCCUCCCCUCAGACUUACCUUAUUUAAAACCCUGUUGUCCCUGAAUAAAGUGGCAUUGCUGCACGAACCCU